Molecule: long non-coding RNA, 10373 nt
Organism: Callithrix jacchus (white-tufted-ear marmoset)
Lineage: Eukaryota; Metazoa; Chordata; Mammalia; Primates; Cebidae
Source: RefSeq, a predicted model, not a curated record
ACACAUACCACAAAACACUCACUCCAGUCACCACAAACACCACACACACAACACACAUUCCAUACAUACACACAUACUACAAUAAUAUACCUCACAUAUAUACCACAUGAUAUAUUACACAAACAAAAAAACACACAUGUCAGCCGGGCACAGUGGCUCAUGCCUGUGAUCCCAGCACUUUGGGAGGCUGAGGCAGGUGGAUCACGAGGUCAGAAGUUCAAGACCAGCGUGACCAACAUGGAGAAACCCUGUCUUUACUAAAAAUACAAAAUUAGCUAGGUGUGGUGGUACAUGCCUGUAAUUCUAGCUAUUCGGGAGGCUGAGGCAGGAGAAUUGCUUGAACCCGGGAGUUGGAGGUUGCGGUGAGCCAAGAUCGCACCAUUGCACUCCAGCCUAGACAACAAGAGUGAAACUUCAUCUCAAAAAAAAACACACACACACACACACACACACACACAUGUCACACAGCACACAUGUAGACCACAUUCUCCCCCAUGCACACACAGACCUAUACCAGAAACAGCCACACACACACACACACACACACACACACACACACACACGGGAGCAAGAGCACCGCAGACUCCGGGCAGCCCCCAGCCAUGGCUUGCUAAUUGCCUAUCUUCCUGCAGGCCUGUUUAUCAUCUCUCCCCAGCACUCAGGCACCAAAUGAAGAUAGAUUCCAGGAAGCUUUGAAAUGUUCCAAAUGCAGAAGCCUCCCAAUCACACGCUUUGAAGAUUAGAACAAGUUUUAAUUCCCCUCCUCUCAACCCAGGCUUUUGAAUUGUUUUUUUAAUUAUUCCUCUAAAAAUGCUCUGUACCCCAUGACUGUAAGAACAACACUGGCUCAUUGUGAGGGCUGUCAUUCAUUCAGCUCUAACUAUGUGCCGGAAUGUGAUAAGCGCUCACCCGUGCUUCCUCCUCAUAUCCCGGUGGCAGCCCUAGGAGGGAGGCUUGACUUUAUCUGCAUAGAAUCCCUACUUCAUAGAACAGGAGAGAGAGUCCCAGAGAGGCCAAGGAGUGGCCACAGAUCAGGACAGAUCAUGAACUGCAGUGGGUGAUUCCAGGCUGUCUCAUCCAGAAUCCAUUUUUGUAAACCUCAGGCAAUAAUGGCUCCUAUGGGUUGUAGGUAAUUUGCAACAUACAGGAAGGAACAAUACUUCUAGAAUAGUCUACUGUCUACAUUUUUUUGUGGAUUUAUUUUCAAUUUAUUGUUAUAAAUGUAUUUUAAAGAAGGGGUUAACAUUACCUAUAUGAUUUGUGUAUGCAGCUCUUUUUCAUGAAUGGUUCAUUUCUAAGACUUAAAACCCAGAGAGGAGGAAAGAGGAAAUGAGGAAGGAAACACAGAGGGGUUUGCGUUGAGUCGAGCCCAAAGGUUUGCGGGCUAGUGGUGUUGCCUUUCUAUGGACCAAGAGAGAGAAAACCAGAAGUUUUCUAGGGGUAAAAGGAAAUGGUUUGGAGUCAGAUGACCCAGGUAUGGGGAGUGACUUCAUCCCUGCCAGUUCCUGGGGACAGGGACUCUGCAGGGUUGUCUGCCAGCCACCAGAGCUGUCUAGGAUUUCUGUGCACCCCCACCUGUCAAGUGGGGUUGGGGAGCUCCAGCUCACAGGUUGAUGGUGAGGACUCACACAGGGCAUGCAUGCUAAGGGCUUGGCCUCGUGCUGUACAUGGGGGCUAAGUAAAGCUUCCCUGUCUUCUAUACAUAUAUAUCCCUUUGAGAAUAGUGGAAGUAACAUCUCACCCAUGUCAGAGCCUGUCCAGUGCAUGAGGGCCCAGGGAUUUCCUCACUUUCCACAGUGGGAGUAAGUGGUGGGGCAGCAGGCAACCCCUUUCUCCAGAAUGUGGACAUGGAAUCUACUGAGAGGAAGGGCAUGUCCUCUUGAGGAAGGAGCCUUUAUUCACUCCACAUCCCAUCCCUUGGCAAACACACACCCACACCUGGAGCAGCAUCUGGAGGCCGCCCUUCACACCUUCCAAGCUGUCAGCCAGCUCUGAGCGCCAUCGUUGCCUGGAGGAUUCUGUUAGCCCCUGGCUGGCUCCCUUGUUUCUGCCUUUGUCCCUUACAGUCAUCCACAAUCCGGCAGCCAGGGGGGUCCUGGGAAAGCCUGAUCAGGUCAGGUGGCUUCUCUGCUCAAGACCAUCCAAUGUCUCCCUCUCUCCAUCAGGGACACAAAGUCCCUAUGUGUCCAGCCUCCCUGCCUCACCUGGCCCGGGACCUCUCUGACCUGUCUCCUGCGACCUUCUCCUCCAGCCUCCCAGCCCUCUCUGUUCCUCAGAGUCUUCCUUAUCUGCCACUGUGCCUGCCCUUAAUUGCCCCAGGCCUGGUUAACUAGGCUACAUGAUCACCAGCAGCUAAACAGCAGCACUCUCCCCCCAAUACUCCCCAUCCCCCUGCCUGACAUAUUUUCCCAAGGCUUAAUGUUGACUAGUAGCUAUAUCUGCAUCUACCUCCACUUUUACCUCUCUCUCUCUCUCUCUCUAGUAUAAUUGCAUAAUUGCCCCCACCCAGUGGGACAUAAUUUCUAAGUGGGCAAGGAGUUUAUUUGCUCACUGCUGUAUCCUGAAUAUUGGCAUAGUGCCUGCCAUAGUCUUCAACAAGUAUCUGUGGAAUGAAACAAAACACCACCAAAUGAACAGGGAGGUAAAUGGAGACAGAAUGGUGGUACUAGAAUUAAUGUACGAAGCUCUGUGGUCUAGUGUGUGAUGUCAACCAUCUUCCCUGAUCUCUUAGGACAUCUGCAGGGACGGAUCUGUUUCCCACCCCUGCCUGUGGCCUUGGCAUGACUAGUGGCUGCACUGACAUUCCGAUUCCCACUUUGGGGUGGGUGCGGGCUGGGAAGAGAGGCUUCCUUGGGGUUGCGCCAUUUCUCCUCCCCACAGUCCGGAUCUCUGCCCCCUCCCCCAUGGGGACUGAAGGGCCACCCCUGUGAAAGCCAGUGCCAACUUGAGAGAGAAGUGGAUGGAGCAGGGACAGAUGUCCCCUCCCUCUCUUUCACCCAAGGAAUGGAAAACUCUGCCCGGAGAUUCACUGGAAGAAACUGUGUGGAGGGUCGGGCUGGGGGGCAGGCGGGAGGAAAUAAUACACAUUCAUCAUCCCCCUUUGGAGCCUGCCCCGAGGCUUCAGGCAGCACCUGGGAUGUCACUAACAGCUGGUCCCAGGGGAAGAGGUAAACGGUUGCAGCUGACAGGCUGCUGUGGGACAGGCAGGGCCAAUCAGAACUCAGGUCUGUGUCCCAGAGGCCCGCCCAGCUGGCUUAGUCAUCUGAGGGCAGGGUCCUGAGAGCACAGGGGGAGGGAGGUCAAUUGCCACAUUGUAGCUCAUUUGAUUCUGGGUGGGUGGAAGGAAAAACCUGAGAGGGUAUGUCAGCGUUGGUCACGAGCAUGUCAGGCGCUGCAUGACGCAGGCGGGCAGGCGCCUCUGGUUCCAGGCGGAGAGAGGGACUGGCAGUCCCCCAGAGGGGUCUGUGACAGGGAGCAGGUGCCGGAGCCAGGGGCUCCAACUCGUCAUUUAGCUGCUGCAUGAAUUAUUUAUGGACGGCUGUAAAACACACACACAGAGCUGAGCAUCCUUUUGCCAUCUUUCAGCUCUGUACUCUUUUCUGUACUGUGAAGGUCGAGGCUCCGUCUGAUCAUGGACAGGAGUGGCGCUGAGAUCCUCACACUUCGCUUUCAUAGUCUCCAGAGAUGAUAGGGGCUCAGCCUGUGGCUGGCUCUCAGCAGUACUCGGUGCUCUUGUGUAAAUGCCUGGCCCUCUUUCACAGCCCUUCCUUCCUUUUCCUGAUUUUUCUCUUUGUUCCUAGCUAUUCUGUGUGCCUGGAGGAAGGGUUCUGCCCUGUCACUAUCUGGUGUUCCUGCCCCUGCAGCUCCCAGGUCCCCGGCCACCUCUAGGUGGAGGCUUUCUGAAGCCCAGGACACAGCGUCUGAACCCACAGCUUCUGGCCAGGGAUCGGAUUUGCAGCCUUCAUCUCUCCUGAUGUGCUGUCAGGAAGGAGAAAGCAGAGAAAGGGAGCUGAGUUUUUUGUUUGUUUGUUUUCACUGCCAAAACAACAACACACACACAAACCCAACCAGGUUGAUGUGCAGGCUGUACUCUAAGAAAACAUUCCAGAAAGUUCUCAGGCAUUUCCAGCUACUCCUGUAAAUGGCAGAUCUGAAGCUGAGAGUUUCCCAUUAGAAGGCUCAGUCUCCUAAGCACCUGCCUUCCCUCUUGCCUUCAACAUGCUGAGACCCUCCUGUGACAAGGACGUUCUGAUGGCCAUGGCAGCCCAGCCUGUCCGGCACCUUUGCACCUGUGGACCCUUCACUUACAACCCUAUUUCUCUCACUGCUUUCUUUCAAAAUCCCACUUUCCUUGUCAGGUACCCAUCAAGUCCUCUCCUCUCUGUGGGGUCUUCCCUUACCUUCCUAACUGGGGUGUGCCUUCCUGGCCACUGUUUAAUUUACAUUCCAUGCAAACCAUAUCUCAAACUCUCCUGGGGCCUAGUAUCAUUUCCCUAUUUUAUGGCUGAGCCUCUCCAGGCUUCUACUUGGAGAAAACACCCAAGGGCACUUAGCUACUAAAAUGCCAUCAAAAUACAUGGGACCAUACUAGAGUUAGGUGUGCAGCGAUAUGUAACAGCUGUAUUUUCUAGAUUUCCUCUCAAGCCACAUCCUGCUUGGAGUAAAGGAUUGGGCUCUUCAACUUGUCAAUUUACAGUGUAUCUUUGCUUUAUUUUCUUCAGUUUAAGGCGUCUUGUAUACUUAUUCUAGCUCCUCCAUGUACAUUUUCUGCUCUUUGGAUUUAUCUUUUUCCCCAGGUUGGCUUCGUGUUUAGGGUCUUCAUGACCUUGUAGCCACAGGGUGGCUGGCGAUCUGCACGUGGUGCUGAUGGUACCCAGUCAGUUCUGAGCUUCCCCUAGAGGCAUGUGGCAGCAAACACCUCCCACCCUUGGUACCAUGCUUCUUGUUUAACCUGUACGGUGCUGUGACAUUUACUGAGAACACCGUAGCUGCCGAGCACUGUGCCCAGAUUCUGUCGUCGUCAGCACAACCAAGAGUUGGUAUGAUUAUCCCUCUCUUACAGUUGGGAAAACUGAGGCUCAGAGAGGUUGAGUGACUGCCCUGUCCACACCCCUUACCUAGGGUGUCAGCUGAGAGAGGAGGUUUUCCCACCGGAACUACUCUCCUUCUCCACUUUCUUCUGUGUGCCCAGGAGGCUGAACUACAUUAUGAUAGGCAGAAUAAUGGCCCCACAAAGAUGUCCAUGUCCUCUUUCCUGUGAAUGUGUUAUGUAUAUGGAAAAAGGGAAUUAAGGUUGCAGAUGGCAUUGAGGUUGGAAAUCAGCUGACCUUGAGGGAGAUUACCUUGGAUUACCUGGAUGAGUUCAAUGCAGACACAAGGGUCCUUUAUGGCAAGGGGAAGGCAGCAGGUAUCAGACUCAGGGCAAUGCCGUGUGAAUGUGGAGGCCUCUGGAAGCUGAGUAAAUAAGGGAAGAGAUUCUCUUCUGGAGCUGCCAGAGAGAUGCAGCCCUUCUGCACUUUGAUUUUAGGCCACUGACGCUUGUUUUCACAUCUACGUCCUGCUGUCAGAACUGUAAGACAAUAAAUUCAUGUCGUUUUAAGCCACCAAGUUUGUGGUUGCUCAUUGCAGCAGCCAGAGGGAAGUAUGCAGAUACAAACCGCCUCCCCUGGCGCCCUCGCGCUCUGCUCCCAGGAGUUCUGUCCAGUGGGGAGCAACAGCAGGAGAUUGGGAGGAGGAAGAGGGAGAGAUCGAGGUGUUGACUCCCUCACUGCCUCCCUGUAGCAUCAUUGAGGGCUGGAGCUGUCCCUUGACCAAAAGUCCUAGCUCCUGCCUGCAGCCCUCCCUGCAUAGCCCUCUCCACUUCAGUGCCAGGAGUGGCCCUGUCUCUUGCUGUGUGGGGCUUCAGGGUAGUAACUGUGCUCUGGUGCAGCCGACUCUCCCUGUGGUUUCUCCACACUCUAUGUCCCUUUUGCUGAUAAUUCCUGUAUGUUACACCCUCCUCAGGUCACCUGGUCAUCAGUAUCCUGCCGUGAUCCUGACAGAUGAUACCAAUGGGCAUGCCCACUGCUCCACCUUCCGUGCAGGGGUAGCCCUGCCAGGGGUCCUCAUCCAGUGCAGGUUAGCCCCAUGGCCCACGUGGCUAAGCCCUUCCCGUGUGCUCAUUAUUGCUCAACUCAUCCUAUGAAGCCCCGCUGAGAUGCUGCCUGCUCCCGACAGCCCUCUUGGAGCGGCCUCUUUGGAGUUAACCUCUCCUUUAUGUUUCCCUGGAGAUGUGUCUGCAAAAUGCUGCUAUGACAACCAGCUUCAAAUGAAGGAAUCAGGUUGCAGGAAUGAAUUGGAGAUGGUAAAUAUGGGGGAUUUUAUUGCCAAUGGAAGUGACUCUCAGGGGGAAAGGGACCUAAAAGGAAGAUGGAGCGGGAAGGUAAGCUUCCCCUGGAGUCCAGCCGGGGACUCUCUGAAGCUACAUCAUCAAGUGGGCCUCUGGAGUCAAGCUGCUUUUCUCCAAUAUCCAACUGUAGCCAUGUGGUCUUGCUCCAGAAAUGUGUGUGCUUCCUUCUGACUGGCCUGAUCUCUACUCAGCACCUCUUGUCUAGAAUUCAAGGCUUUUGUUUGCUUUUUAUUUCCUGCUUCCUCAGAGCUUCAGUGUUCGCCAGGCUCAACAUGGUCUCUCCAGGCAUGAGCUUUCAGCUGGGCAUUGUCAGAGAUGAACAUCUUAUCAUUUUCCAUGGAGCAAAUCAAUGGCCACCCUUCCUGGCUAAGAACCCUGGGUUUCAACUUCUCUCCCAGCAGAGGGGAAAUUCCUGAGCCAAGCCCUGGCGUCGAGGAACUGUCAGAGUCGCUUGAACCAAAGCAACUCCAUCCUGAAUAGGGGCUGGGUAAAAUAAGACUGAGACGUCCUGGGCUUGCAUUCCCAGACGAUUAGGCAUUCUAAGUCACAGAAAUGAGACGGGAGGUCAGCACCAGAUACAGGUCAGAGAGACUUCGCUGAUAAAACAGUUCACAGUAAAGAAGCCAAAACCCACCAACACCAAGAUAGUGACGAGAGUGACCUCUGGUCAUCUUCGCUGCUACACUCCCACCAGUGCCACCAUAGUUUACAAAUGCCAUGGCAACAUCAGGAAGUUACCCUAUAUGGUCCAAAAGGGGAGGGAUGAAUAAUCCACCCUUUGUUUAACAUCAAGAAAUAACCAUAAAAGUGGGCAACCAGCAGUCCUUGAGGCUGCUCUGCCUAUGGAGUAUCCAUUCUUUUAUUCCUUUAGUGUUUUAAUAAACUUGCUUUCACUUUAUGGAUUGGCCUCAAAUUCUUUCUUGCAUGAGAUCCAAGAACGCUUGGAGUCGACUGAGACCACUUGACAGUAACAAAACUUCCUUCAGGUCCUGAAUCCUUUUUCUUUCCAAUAGUCCUCAUUAGAAUACGAUUGCUUCUGGGACCUGGGACAACUGGUUUGUUCCAAUCAUUUAAUACCUAAGACAGGACCAGUGGUCCCCUUGAGACCUCCAUUACCCCUUGGCUCAGGCUGGGUUCCCUAGGAGGGAGGGGUGCAGGAAUCAGGGUGAGUGCUUUUGAGCAUUGGCAGGAGUGAAAGUCCAUUGGAUUCGCCUGAGGGGAGGAUCCAGGUGCCUGUGAUUUAAUGAGGAGGGCAGCUCUUCAGGAAAAACCUGUGAGGGAAUAACAAGGGUGGGGUAUGGUGAAUUCUGUGCAUCUUGGCCAUGCUCUAGUACCCACUAAUUCCAUUAGACAUGGAUCUAGGUGUUGCUGUGAAGGUAUUUUGCAGAUGUGGUUAACAUCGACAACCAGCUGACGUUAAAGAAGCGUUAUUCCAGAUAAUCUGGAUGGGACAUCAUCCAGUCAAUGAAAGACCUUCAGAGCAAAAUAAGGUUUGCCUGAGGAGAAAGAGGCACCACUGCUGACCUCCUCCCGGACCACCUGCAGACUUAGACUUACCAGCCUCCAACACAUGAAAUAAGUACUUAAGGCCCCUCCUCUGGGCUAGUCCUUCACUAUCAGCGUGAAGCCUGGAAGACUGGAAGGAAAGAGAGCAAGGAGGAUGCGUGUUUGUUUUGAUUCUGGCUCUUUCUCCAACCUUGGUAAGUGGUUUGACAUCCCUGAGUCUUAGCUUUCUCUCUGUCAUAGGGUCAUGUUAUGCAGCCCAUGCAGUGUUGAGGGCGUUAGAUGUAGUGUAUGUCGUAUGGUAAGCUGAAUCCUUAACCCCAGUUCUCCACCCCUUGACGUAUCCAGGACCACUGUCAGGCAACUUUGCAAUUCCUCCCACCGAAAACCAGAGGAACUUCCCCACCAUUUGACCUCGGGUUCCGCCAUGUGGCUUAUUUGGACCAGCGGAAUAUUAGUAGAUGUGACAGUGUGUUCAUGCAGCAGGGCUUGUGGUCUUCCACCUCCAUCGUCACCCAGAGAAGAACAUGCCCUGGCCAGCCCAUUUGCCCAGGAGAGCAAGAGACAUGGAGCAGAUCAAGUGGCACACAUGCAGACCUACUGCUUGAGGAAGAGCCUCCAGGUCAAGCCCUGCCAGGCUCACGAAGCCCCCAGGGUAUCCCGACGGUGUGUGACAAACAUGCUUAUUAUUGUAUGUCACAGACUCUGUGGUUGUUAGACUAAUAUGUAUUAUAAAAGCAACUCAUCUGGCACCCGUAGGCAUUCAACAGAUGCUGACUGAUAUAAGAAGGUGUAGAAUACAAAUGGUAUGACGUUCUCAGUUGUCACAAAUAAAUGAAGCAUGAAAGGAUUAAUGGUGAAGACUCAGAGGCAUUUAGAAAUGUUACUCUAGGGCCAGGCAUGGGGGUUCGUGCCUGUGAUCCCAGUGCUCUACGAGGUGGAGGCAGGAAGAUCACUUGAGUCCAGGAGGUCAAGGUUACAGUGAGCUAUGUUUGUGCCACUGCACUCCAAUCUGGACAACAGAACAAGACCCUGUUUCUUUUAAAGAAUGUUACUUUAGAGAAGAAUCACUUUCUCCAAAUAGGGCAUCUCUUCUUUGCUUAAAAAUAAAGUAAUAGAAGUGAUAUUAGACCCUUUCAAUCUAACCCGGGUCAGGUGCUGCCUUCUAACCUAAUCAAACCUUUACUUGCCCCAUUUAAAUGCAAUUACUGUUUGCACUAGCCUGUGAGCCCUGAGGGUGGAGAUUGAGUCUUUAUGCAUCCUUGGAAUCCCGGAGCCAGGUAAGCCCAGCAGAGAACUGGUUCUUUCUGUGUGUGUAAAACUACUAAACUGAAUAGUUCAGUGGAAGCAUUUUGUCUUAAAAUCUCCCUGUGGUCCUGUCCUUCAGGGAAAUGUCACCAGUCCCAGAAGGCCAGAUAAGACCAGCUGAUGCCAGCGUCUUUGAGGGUUAGCAAUGCUAGAUGGAGCCAGUAAGUCCUAGGUCUGGCCUGAAUGGGGCUGGCCCAUAGUUGGAUGAAGGAAAAGGUGUGGCUGGCGUUGCCAUGCCUGUCCCCUUCCUGCUCCCCUUGCGUUAUCAUUAGCCACAGACAGGGCUUGGCUUCCCUGAGAGCCCAGCCCUGCAGCAGUAGCUGCCUGCCUGGCUUCACCAGCCCUGCUGCGGGUCAGCCUCAGGCUCAACCCAGCUGGCAGAUUAUCAGCAUUUACAGGCAGUGGCAGGUGGGGUCUGGGAGUCCUCAGAGCACCCAAGCCCAGCAUCAGGUGCGCCAGGAGUGAGCCUGGUGCUCACAAGACCACCACCAGCAACAACCUUUUUUGCUUUGUCGCAAGGUGCAUGCUUUUUUGUAAAUCAGUUUUGCCUGAGUUCCUGUCUUUUUGUUUUUGCCAAUUUUCUACUUUAUCUGCAGCCCAGUGCCGAACCUCAGCAAAUGCUGCAGAGCCCUGACUACCCGACUGGCCCUUGAAGCCCAAGUUUCUGGGAUUAGACCCCCUAUUCCUAUGAACUAUGGUGCCCCUAAGCUGCCAUUGUAUCCUCAUCUCCUGGCCUGGUACCUUGGAUCAGUAUGUGUUUGUUGAAUGAAUAAAUGAAACUAGAUAGAAGUCUAUGGCUGCCACAGAAUGGACUGCUGCUUGCCAAAUUCAACCCUUCACUAUAUCAGUAUAUCAGCUUUUAUGUGACUCAAGCUCAAGUUCUCCAGGCUCCUUGAACACUAAAAAUUGGAUAUCUGGCUAUCUCUAGGGACCAGCUUUAAAAUGGGGCCAGUAUAUUCAGUUCCAGUCUCCUGCCUUUCCCAAGUGCUUAUUGCUGAAAUUCCAGCCUGCCCUACACCAAUGGAGCUGUGCUGUUAGUGCACGAGAGUGCUGGGGAGCAACUGUGUUGCCCAUGAUUUAAUUGCUUCUAGGGCACCAAGGGUUUGAUAUCUUCCAAUAUGCCAGUAAGAGAGCAGCACACACACCCAACAUCACUUAAGGUCUUAUACAUAUC